This 395-nucleotide ribosomal RNA is filed under the name uncultured bacterium. Its description in RNAcentral is "bacterial SSU rRNA". It matches the Rfam family "Bacterial small subunit ribosomal RNA", at positions 505 to 898 of the family's 1533-position model. The record is from RNAcentral.
GUGCCAGCCGCCGCGGUAAUACGUAGGAGGCGAGCGUUGUCCGGAUUUACUGGGCGUAAAGCGCGCGCAGGCGGCAGUGCAAGUAAGGUGUGAAAUCUCCCUGCUCAACGGGGAGGGUGCACUUUAGACUGCACAGCUCGAGGUCGGUAGAGGGGGGUGGAAUUGCUGGUGUAGCGGUGAAAUGCGUAGAGAUCAGCAGGAACACCCGUGGCGAAGGCGGCCCCCUGGGCCGUACCUGACGCUGAGGCGCGAAGGCUAGGGGAGCGAACGGGAUUAGAUACCCCGGUAGUCCUAGCAGUAAACGAUGGCCACUAGGUGUGGGGGGUGUUGACCCCUUCCGUGCCGAAGCUAACGCAUUAAGUGGCCCGCCUGGGGAGUACGGUCGCAAGACUAAA